AUACUUACCUGGCAAUGGAGAUACUAUUAUUAUGAAGGUGGCUUCUCCAGAGCAAGGCUAAUCUGUUGCACUCUGAUGUGCUGAUCCCUGCAAUUUCCCUAAAUGUGGGAAUCCUAACUGCAUAAUUUAUGGUGGGGAUUGCAUUUUUACUCCCCUUU
Suncus etruscus (white-toothed pygmy shrew) is the source of this 158-nucleotide small nuclear RNA. RefSeq annotates it as U1 spliceosomal RNA. The transcript has a single exon. NCBI's taxonomy places the organism in Eukaryota, Metazoa, Chordata, Mammalia, Eulipotyphla, Soricidae. The record is from RefSeq and is a predicted model, not a curated record.